CGGACGGGUGAGUAAUGCUUGGGAAUCUGGCUUAUGGAGGGGGAUAACUACGGGAAACUGUAGCUAAUACCGCGUAAUAUCUUCGGAUUAAAGGGUGGGACUUUCGGGCCACCUGCCAUAAGAUGAGCCCAAGUGGGAUUAGGUAGUUGGUGGGGUAAAGGCCUACCAAGCCGACGAUCUCUAGCUGGUCUGAGAGGAUGACCAGCCACACUGGAACUGAGACACGGUCCAGACUCCUACGGGAGGCAGCAGUGGGGAAUAUUGCACAAUGGGGGGAACCCUGAUGCAGCCAUGCCGCGUGAAUGAAGAAGGCCUUCGGGUUGUAAAGUUCUUUCGGUGAUGAGGAAGGUGUUUGUUUUAAUAGAACAAGCAAUUGACGUUAGUCACAGAAGAAGCACCGGCUAACUCCGUGCCAGCAGCCGCGGUAAUACGGAGGGUGCGAGCGUUAAUCGGAAUGACUGGGCGUAAAGGGCACGCAGGCGGUGACUUAAGUGAGAUGUGAAAGCCCCGAGCUUAACUUGGGAAUCGCAUUUCAUACUGGGUCGCUAGAGUAUUUUAGGGAGGGGUAGAAUUCCACGUGUAGCGGUGAAAUGCGUAGAGAUGUGGAGGAAUACCGAAGGCGAAGGCAGCCCCUUGGGAAUAUACUGACGCUCAUGUGCGAAAGCGUGGGGAGCAAACAGGAUUAGAUACCCUGGUAGUCCACGCUGUAAACGCUGUCGAUUUGGGGAUUGGGCUUAGAGCUUGGUGCCCGUAGCUAACGUGAUAAAUCGAC
This 772-nucleotide ribosomal RNA is filed under the name uncultured Actinobacillus sp. RNAcentral's name for it is "bacterial SSU rRNA". It matches the Rfam family "Bacterial small subunit ribosomal RNA", at positions 99 to 869 of the family's 1533-position model. The record is from RNAcentral. Lineage: Bacteria; Pseudomonadati; Pseudomonadota; Gammaproteobacteria; Pasteurellales; Pasteurellaceae.